GUUUGACCUCAAAUCAGGUAGGACUACCCGCUGAACUUAAGCAUAUCAAUAAGCGGAGGAAAAGAAACCAACAGGGAUUGCCUCAGUAACGGCGAGUGAAGCGGCAAAAGCUCAAAUUUGAAAUCUAGCACCUUCGGUGUUCGAGUUGUAAUUUGAAGAUGGUAACCUUGGGUUUGGCUCUUGUCUAUGUUCCUUGAAACAGGACGUCAUAGAGGGUGAGAAUCCCGUCUGAUGAGAUGCCCAUUCCUAUGUAAGGUGCUAUCGAAGAGUCGAGUUGUUG
This 280-nucleotide ribosomal RNA is filed under the name Hansenula anomala. RNAcentral's name for it is "Wickerhamomyces anomalus partial 28S ribosomal RNA". It matches the Rfam family "Eukaryotic large subunit ribosomal RNA", at positions 1 to 275 of the family's 3401-position model. The record is from RNAcentral. Lineage: Eukaryota; Fungi; Ascomycota; Saccharomycetes; Phaffomycetales; Wickerhamomycetaceae.